This 543-nucleotide ribosomal RNA is filed under the name uncultured bacterium. RNAcentral describes it as "bacterial SSU rRNA". It matches the Rfam family "Bacterial small subunit ribosomal RNA", at positions 777 to 1319 of the family's 1533-position model. The record is from RNAcentral.
AAUAGAUACCCUGGUAGUCCACCCCGUAAACGUUGGAAACUAGUUGUGGGGUCCAUUCCACGGAUUCCGUGACGCAGCUAACGCAUUAAGUUCCCCGCCUGGGGAGUACGGCCGCAAGGCUAAAACUCAAAGGAAUUGACGGGGACCCGCACAAGCGGCGGAGCAUGCGGAUUAAUUCGAUGCAACGCGAAGAACCUUACCAAGGCUUGACAUACACGAGAACGGGCCAGAAAUGGUCAACUCUUUGGACACUCGUGAACAGGUGGUGCAUGGUUGUCGUCAGCUCGUGUCGUGAGAUGUUGGGUUAAGUCCCGCAACGAGCGCAACCCUCGUUCUAUGUUGCCAGCACGUAAUGGGGGAACUCAUGGGAUACUGCCGGGGUCAACUCGGAGGAAGGUGGGGAUGACGUCAAAUCAUCAUGCCCCUUAUGUCUUGGGCUUCACGCAUGCUACAAUGGCCGGUACAAAGGGCUGCAAUACCGUGAGGUGGAGCGAAUCCCAAAAAGCCGGUCCCAGUUCGGAUUGAGGUCUGCAACUCGACCUC